ACGAACGCUGGCGGCAGGCUUAACACAUGCAAGUCGAGCGCCCCGCAAGGGGAGCGGCAGACGGGUGAGUAACGCGUGGGAAUCUACCCAUCUCUACGGAAUAACCCAGGGAAACUUGGACUAAUACCGUAUACGCCCUUCGGGGGAAAGAUUUAUCGGAGAUGGAUGAGCCCGCGUUGGAUUAGCUAGUUGGUGGGGUAAAGGCCUACCAAGGCGACGAUCCAUAGCUGGUCUGAGAGGAUGAUCAGCCACAUUGGGACUGAGACACGGCCCAAACUCCUACGGGAGGCAGCAGUGGGGAAUAUUGGACAAUGGGCGAAAGCCUGAUCCAGCCAUGCCGCGUGAGUGAUGAAGGCCCUAGGGUUGUAAAGCUCUUUCAGUGGGGAAGAUAAUGACGGUACCCACAGAAGAAGCCCCGGCUAACUUCGU
Molecule: ribosomal RNA, 429 nt
Filed under: uncultured bacterium
Lineage: Bacteria
Description: bacterial SSU rRNA
Rfam family: Bacterial small subunit ribosomal RNA
Source: RNAcentral